This 110-nucleotide small nuclear RNA is filed under the name Sus scrofa (pig). Lineage: Eukaryota; Metazoa; Chordata; Mammalia; Artiodactyla; Suidae. The record is from RNAcentral.
AUGCUCACUUCAGCAGCACAUAUAUUACAAUUUCAGCCAUACAGAGAAGAUUAUUAGCAUGGCCCCUGUGCAAGGAUCACACGCAAAUUCAUGAAGUGUUCCAUAUUUUU